Molecule: long non-coding RNA, 458 nt
Organism: Hemicordylus capensis (graceful crag lizard)
Lineage: Eukaryota; Metazoa; Chordata; Lepidosauria; Squamata; Cordylidae
Exons: 3
Source: RefSeq, a predicted model, not a curated record
UGGACACUGCUGCUCUGCUGAGCACACAGUCUUAUUUCAAAGAGUAGGCAUCAUCUUUCAAUCAGUCAUAUUUCAAAAAUCCGCGCUUCCUCCAAGAAGCACAGACUGCUGUACUUUGUUAUAUUUAUCUGCCCAACAACUCUGUGAGCCUAGCAAGCAUCCUGCCGUUUGCCUGCGGGCUUCUGUCUGACAGAAUGCUCUAGCCGCUCACUUCUUACUGUAUUCCACACUGAAAGAUCAGUUGCUGCUCCUGUACAUUAGGCAGAAAUCCUGUGAAAUCAUCCUAACACAUGAAAGGUCAGUUCACACAUACACAUUUGUCACUGUAUUGACCUUGGCCCUCUUCACAUGUUGCUUCUGUUUCCCCUUCAGAAGGCUGAUGUUUCAUGAACUCCUGAGUGAUUAUGAAUGAGUCAUCGCAGAUUAAUCAUCACUUAUUAGAACUUGUACUUCACCCA